CAGCACUUUGGCAGGCCGAGGCAGGUGGAUCACGAGGUCAGGAGAUCGAGACCAUCUUAGCUAACACGGUGAAACCCCGACUCUAUUAAAAUACAAAAAAAAUUAGCCAGGCGUGGUGGCGGGCGCCUGUAGUCCCAGCUACUGGGGUGGCUGAGGCAGGAGAAUGGCAUGAACCCAGGAGGCGGAGCUUGCAGUGAGCCGAGAUCGCGCCACUGCACUCCAGCCUGGGUGACAGAGCUAGACUCUGUCUCAAAAAAAAAAAAAAAAAAAAAAAAAAAAAAAAAAGAAAUUAGGCCGGGCGCAGUGGCUCACGCUUGUACUUUGGGAGGCCGAGGAGGGUGGAUCAACUGAGGUCAGGAGUUGGAGACCAGCCUGGCCAACAUGGUGAAACCCGCCUCUACUAAAAAUACAAAAAUUAGCUGGGCAUGGUGGCAGGUGCCUGUAAUCCCAGCUACUCGGGAGGCGGAGAAUCGCUUGAACCUGGAGGGCGGAGGGGGCGGAGGUUGCAGUGAGCCGAGAUCACACCACUUCUCUCCAGCCUGGCGAAAGAGCGAAGCGAGACAACGUCUCAAAAAAAAAAAAAAAAAAAGAAAGAAAGGAAAAAGAAUUUAAAAUAUAGUUAAGAAGCCAUGCUUACUAUAUCUAAUUAAAGAUAUUGGGACAAUCGAACAGCAAUCACACAAUUGGUUGCCAAUUCUACAGUAGAAUUUCGUGUUGGUGUAGGUGUCUUGCGCUCUAAGAAGUUACAGUUGGAGGAGAUAAGACUGAAACCCAGUUAUUU
Molecule: long non-coding RNA, 781 nt
Filed under: Homo sapiens (human)
Lineage: Eukaryota; Metazoa; Chordata; Mammalia; Primates; Hominidae
Description: HSALNT0296386
Source: RNAcentral